AGGGCAUUUGGUGAAUGUCUUGAUGCAUGCAGGCGAUGAAGGACGUGGGGCACUGCGAUAAUCCUCGACAAGUUGUGUACAAACAUUUGAGUCGGGGGUCUCCGAAUGGGGUAACCUACCUUUUUUAAGGUAUUUUGUUUUGAAUACAUAGAAGCAAAAAGCAAACCUAGGGAACUGAAACAUCUUAGUACCUAGAGGAAAGGAAAUCAAAGAGACUCCGUUAGUAGCGGCGAGCGAAACCGGAUCAGGCCAUUGUAAAAACUGCUUUAACCAGAAGUGUUAGGAAUAUCACACCAUAGAGAGUGAUAGUCUCGUAUGGGUAUGGAGCUUUUUUUGCACAGAGUAUAGCGGAACACUUGUAAUUCCGUUUGAACAUAGGGAGACCACUCUCUAAGCCUAAGUACUAGCAUGUGAUCGAUAGUGGACAAGUACCGUGAGGGAAAGAUGAAAAGUAUCUCGAGAGAGAGGUGAAAUAGUUCCUGAAACCGGAUGCCUACAAGCAGUGGGAGCAUAAUAUUUAUUUUUUGUGACCACGUACCUUUUGCAUAAGGGGUCAGCGAAUUUAUUUCUCAAGCAAGCUUAAACCGUUAGGUGUAGGCGUAGCGAAAGCGAGUGUUAAUAGCGCGUUUUAGUUUGAGUGAUAAGACCCGAAACCGGGUGAGCUAGUUAUGAGCAGGUUGAAGGAUGGGUAACACUGUCUGGAGGACCGAACCCACCAACGUUGCAAUGUUGGGGGAUGACUUGUGACUAGGGGUGAAAGGCCAAUCAAACCCGGAUAUAUCUGGUUCUCCGCGAAAUCUAUUUAAGUAGAGCGUCAAAAUUAUCAUGUUGGGGGUAGAGCACUAAUUGGGCUAGGGGGUCUAAACAACUUACUAAACCCAGAUAAACUCCGAAUACCAUCGUGUUAUUUUUUGGCAGACACACUAUGGGUGCUAAGUCCUUAGUGGAGAGGGAAACAACCCUGACCAUAGGUUAAGGUCCCUAAGUUAUACCUAAGUGCUUUAAAGGAUGUUGAAAAACUUAGACAGCUAGGAGGUUGGCUUGGAAGCAGCCACCCUUUAAAGAAAGCGUAACAGCUCACUAGUCGAGUUUUUCUGCACCGCAAAUGUUCGGGGCUAAGGUAUACACCGAAACCGUGGGCUUUUCUUUUGAAAAGCGGUAGCGGAGCGUUCCGUAAGCUGUAGAAGCAAUGCUGUGAAGUGUUGUGGAGGUAUCGGAAGUGAGAAUGCUGACAUGAGUAGCGAUAAAGAGUGUGAAAAACACUCUCGCCGUAAAUCUAAGGUUUCCCACGCAAUGAUAAUCAGCGUGGGGUUAGUCGGUCCCUAAGACGAGACCGAAAGGUGUAGUCGAUGGAAACUAGGUUAAUAUUCCUAGACCUUUGGGUGAGUGACGCUUUACAUAAGUUGUACUUCUUUAUUGGAUUAGAAGUGCUUCGAAGUAAAGCCAGGAAAUAGCCCCCAUUUAAAAGGCCGUACCGUAAACCGACACAGGUGGAUGGGUUGAGCAUACUAAGGCGCUUGAGAGAACUAUAUUGAAGGAACUCGGCAAAUUACCUUCGUAACUUAGGGAUAAGAAGGCCUCAUUUGUGGGCAACCAUUUUUGAGGGACACAAGAGAGGGGGUAGCGACUGUUUACUAAAAACAUAGGGCUCUGCAAAUCUUUUAAGGUGAUGUAUAGGGUCUGACGCCUGCCCGGUGCUAGAAGGUUAAUAGGAGGGGUGAGAGCUCUGAAUUGAAGCCCUAGUAAACGGCGGCCGUAACCAUAACGGUCCUAAGGUAGCAAAAUUCAUUGUCGGGUAAGUUCCGGAUUGCAUGAAUGGCGUAACGACUUCCCCACUGUCUCCAAUAUAGACUCAGCGAAAUUGAAUUCCCCGUGAAGAUGCGGGGUACCCGCGGUCAGACGGAAAGACCCCGUGAACCUUUACUAUAGCUUCGUAUUGGUUUUGGUCUUACUAUGUGUAGAAUAGGUGGGAGACUGUGAAGCAUGGACGCAAGUUUGUGAUGAGUCAUCGUUGAAAUACCACCCUUAGUAUUGCUGAAAUCUAACUGCGCUUCGUUUAUCCGGAGCCAAGACAGUGCGUGGUGGUUAGUUUGACUGGGGCGGUCACCUCCUAAAGAGUAACGGAGGUGUGCAAAGGUAAGCUCUAGGCGGUUGGAAAUCGCCUUAUAGAGUGCAAUGGCAUAAGCUUGCUUGACUGUGAGACUUACUAGUCGAACAGAGACGAAAGUCGGUCAUAGUGAUCCGGUAGUUUUGUGUGGAAAAGCUAUCGCUCAACGAAUAAAAGGUACUCCGGGGAUAACAGGCUAAUAGCGCUUAAGAGUUCAUAUCGACGGCGCUGUUUGGCACCUCGAUGUCGGCUCAUCGCAUCCUGGGGCUGUAGAAGGUCCCAAGGGUUUGGCUGUUCGCCAAUUAAAGCGGUACGUGAGCUGGGUUUAGAACGUCGUGAGACAGUUCGGUCCCUAUCUGCCGUGGGUUUCAGGAAAUUUGAAGGAUCCUGCUUCUAGUACGAGAGGACCGAAGUGUAUGCACCUAUGGUGUUCCUGUUGUUGCGCCAGCAGCAUAGCAGGGUAGCUAAGUGCAGAAGAGAUAACUGCUGAAAGCAUCUAAGCAGGAAGCUUUUCCUAAAAUAAUUUCCCUAAAGAGCCGUGGUAGACUACCACGUUGAUAGGUUGGGUGUGUAAUCCUGGUGACAGGUUCAGCUUACCAAUACUAAUAGCUCGUUUGGCUUUUU
Molecule: ribosomal RNA, 2731 nt
Filed under: Palaemon varians (Atlantic ditch shrimp)
Lineage: Eukaryota; Metazoa; Arthropoda; Malacostraca; Decapoda; Palaemonidae
Description: bacterial LSU rRNA
Rfam family: Bacterial large subunit ribosomal RNA
Source: RNAcentral